GUGGAACAGCAAGCAAGGUGAGAAUGAAGACGGGAGAGGAGUGCAGGAAGUUUGAGGAGUUAAGAAGGUAUGAAAGAGUGAAUAGAUAGGAAAAUGUAUAGUAGCAUGGCUGUGAAAUAUUAUAGGCCAACUUAUGGCUAAUGAUCAGGAACUUAAAGUGAGAACAGGCAGAAUAACUGCAUGGUGUUGCAUAGCUACAUUCAGAUGUACAGCUGUAGGCUUGGAGUAAGCCUAAAGUUGGAUUUAACCAUGGUUGAGGUUUUGUCAAUGAGCAAUUUAGGAAAGUAUAGAUGAAAGUAAUUAUAAUGUAAGGAGGGAGAGGUAAGAACAAAGGUAAAGAUUUGG
This is a long non-coding RNA of Phyllostomus discolor (pale spear-nosed bat), 345 nucleotides long. RefSeq lists it as uncharacterized. The record is from RefSeq and is a predicted model, not a curated record. The transcript is spliced from 2 exons. NCBI's taxonomy places the organism in Eukaryota, Metazoa, Chordata, Mammalia, Chiroptera, Phyllostomidae.